This 89-nucleotide ribosomal RNA is filed under the name Shewanella algae. The record is from RNAcentral. Lineage: Bacteria; Pseudomonadati; Pseudomonadota; Gammaproteobacteria; Alteromonadales; Shewanellaceae.
CCUGAUCCCAUCCCGAACUCAGAAGUGAAACGCAAUCGCGCCGAUGGUAGUGUGGGGUCUCCCCAUGUGAGAGUAGGUCAUCGCCAGAC